Molecule: long non-coding RNA, 11717 nt
Filed under: Lathyrus oleraceus (garden pea)
Lineage: Eukaryota; Viridiplantae; Streptophyta; Magnoliopsida; Fabales; Fabaceae
Description: Pisum sativum (pea) long non-coding RNA (PSAT_LNC033198)
Source: RNAcentral
UUUGAUGCAAUAAAAAUACAACAUUAAUUUGAUGCAAUAAAAAUUAAAUAAUUGAAUGAAAAGAAAAUAGAUUCCACUCUAUUUUAUUCUAUUCUAUCUAUUAAUUACAAAUCCAAACAAGAAAAUCUGAUUAUUUACUGUUCUAUUUCAUUCCAUUUCAUCAGAAAUCUUUAUAUUUUAUAUAUGUAACCUCCGCUAUACCCCUUGUACUAACCUCCAAUGAUACAGUAAAAUAAAAAACAGACGCCAAGGGACAUCACUGAUUCUCCAAAACUUAAAAGAAAACAAUUUGGUUUUGACAAAAGUAAGUUACAAGAAAGUAAAAUCUAUAUGAGCUUCUUCUUCUGAAAGUAGCGUCUCAGAUACCACAGUUGCAACACCGAAACCGAAACACAGACGCCAAGAGACAUUAUACUCAACCAAGCAACUCUCCCAUUAGUUGCUUCACUAACUUCCCUCAUUUCCGAUUCCCUAUACCAACGCGAUUGCAAGUGUUUAAGGGUUAGGGUUUAGGGUAAAACCGAAAUCAAACAUCAUAAUGAACAUAAAUUUUUUUACCUAUUCUUUAAAUAUAUCAGAUUUUGAUGAAUGGCUUCCACUGCUCCAUCAAGUUUCCUUAGCUCAAGUUCAACUCCCUUAAGCCAUUGUCCAAAACAAAUCUCAUUAAACACUUCAAUAGAGAGAGAGAAUGAGUGAAAUUUAUUUAUUUAUUACCUCAAUUUUAUCUUUUUUUGCAACGGCGUCCCAAUCUUUGGCAGAGAUUCCAGUUUUCCAAUCAAGGCUGAUUGAGGUACCAUCUACAUUUUUACUAUCCAUCCAAAAGCAUGCUACGUAGCUCCCACUCUCAGUAGUUGUAAAUGCAAAUUGGCCUUGAGUGACAUUUUCAUUGUUGUGAAGAUUAUUUCCAUAUGGAGAUGUUACCUGGGAUAAAAGGUCAGACAUGUAUUAGAACAACAUUGUUAAAUCGAACAAUUCAUUACCUCGGAUGAAAUUGUAUUGAAAGAAUUUUAGAUUUUAAGCCGGUCUAACUCAAUAUACAAAACCGACUUCUAAAUAAGGAUUGUUUUCCACUUACAAACAUAUUUUUAGAUCAUAUCUCAAAUAUUUUUAAACCAUAUUUCAGUCCAUGUAAAGUUUUUUAAGAUUAAAAUCUGGACUGAGUAUUAGAAGAUGAUGAUUGUUAAAACUCUUUAAUAAUGCUCCAAGAAGAAGACAAAAUGGUUAAUGGCAAUAAUGAUGUAACUCUCAUAACUCCCAAAACCAUGAAAGUAGGAGGAAAGAGAUAGGGCUAUAAAUACACUAGAAGAUGACCAAAAAAACAUCCCUUAUAUUGAGACUUUAUUUGUACAUGGUCGACAAGGUCACAAAUUUCUUCAGAAUACCCGGUAUCCAUUACACCGGUACUAUCCGAGAUUAACAACUUACAAAUGUAUUUAUCGAAUCUUAUUUAAGUCUAUAUGAAUUUUAGUUGUUUUAUUGGAACACCCAAACAUUUGCAUGUGAGAAAUCCAUAAACCACCAACGAACUUUCAUUUAUCACAAAUUUAAAUGUGAUUAACCACAAUUAUUAAAUGCUGAAAUUCAUAUAGUUGAGCCCCAGUGGCUAACCAUUAAGCAUAUAUCCUAAUUUAACACCAUAAAAUUUCUAGAGCAACUAAGAAAUUUGGUCCUAAAUUUGCUAAAAACAAAAUUAAGAGCAUACUUUGACAAAAUUAAGCAUUAAGUUCAAACAAAAAAAGAAAAGGAUUUACAUAAGCUAAAACACACCUUGGCAGAAAUAGUAGGAAGUGGAUGACCCUUGAUAUUAUCAGCAACAACAUAGUAAUCGGCUAAAACGACAACAUGUGUUUGGAUUUCCUGGGACACGCACUUAGUUCCUGAACUGGGGAGAGUUAACCAAAGGGCCUUAGUUUGAGGGAGGUUAAAAAGAGAGAUGAAGCAUAACAACGAAACCAGAGCGAUUUGGGUUACAGAACAUGGGUUGAAGCUUUUUGCCAUUUCCGGAAGACACGUUGACCGUGGAAUAAAACAGGAUACUCAAAACCAAAUGGUUCAGAUCUAACCGAGAGAAGGAAAUAAAGUUGGCGUGUGUAAGAAAAAUAGAUUUUAUCAUCAAGAUUCUUUAAUGUUUUAGUUUAAGUUAAAUUUAAAACCAAAAUAAUUAUUAAAAAAAUCAUUGUUAAUUAGCUUUUUAUUUAAUUUUAAAAUAACUUUACUUUCAAUCACAAAAUCAUAACAAUAAAUUAUAUAACUUAUAUUUUUUUUAAAUGUUAUUAUGUCAUCACCAAAGAUCAUAUUGUCUAUCACUAUUUCAACAACAUAAACAUAUCGGGGGAGAAUAUGUUCUAAGUAUUUGUUCCGUAUGAAUUUUUUUUUAUCCUAUUGAUCCCUUGGCUGAAUUCUUAGUUAAAUCUAAUGGGACAUAAACUUUUAGCUCGGUUCUGUUGAGUGUGAAUAUGAAAGUAGAAAAAUGAUCCAGAAGGUGGUGAAUAGACCCAAUUUAAAAUUCAAUUGUCAUUUUUGAAAUCAAGGUGUUUUUCAAAAAUAAUUGUGAGCGGAAGGUUUGAUGCGAAAAUGUGAAAAUUAUACUGCUUGAAUUUUGAUCAAGUUAAUACAGAUCGUUUCACAAAUAGCAAAGAUGAAUAUGAGAAUAUAUUCAAUUGUGUAAUUCACAAGAAGUGUUUACACAAUGAUUCAUUGAAUGAGAUUCUAAUGUCAAUUUGUUUCUCAGAAAAUUAAUCACCAAUCUAGCUUAAAAAGUUAUUCAAUUCCAAUAAAACCUAAUGUUUAUGUAAUAAAUCGCUAUCAAUGUGUAAACGAUAUACUACGAUGGAAUUGAAAUACCUAAGCAUACAAAUACUAUAAAAUUAAAUGCAAGAGUAAGAGAGAGAGAGAGAGAGAGAGAGAGAGAGAGUCUCUCUCUCUCUCUCUUUACUGCAGCUCUAAAUAUCACGAAGCCGGUUCGUCCUCGGCUUUCCUAUGUGCACUCUUCAAUGGUUUCUCAUUAGAACCUGCAUAAUUCCUUGUUAUUUGACAAACACUUGCAAGAGUUCAUACAAUCACCAAUCCACAAUACAACUGAAAAAAUACAAUCUCCUAUUUAGAUCUUGACUUGUAUACAGCACACUCCCAAACUCUUCUACGUAAUCUUUACUCAAAUUACGUUUCUUGAAUCUUCCAAUAUCAUCAAUCUGCUACAAGCCUUCGUCUGUAGCUAUCAACCCCUUGAUACUACCGAUUUAUUGAGCGAUGAAUUAUCUGAAGAUAUGAGAAGAACUCUGCCUUAUCCGUAGCCUUCUACACAAUCACUACUAAGGCAAUUCUGGAGAGAAUAACCUACUUUUUUUCAAUGGAAUUUGUCACCACCAUUGACAAUCACCCCAAUCUUGCAAACAACCUGAAAAACUCCACCAUAUCUCCAAGAACGAUUAGCUUCAAGGACGCGUCUCCUCCAAUCAAUUACGAAUCUCUCGUUAUUAAGAUCUGAACCAAAUUGAAUUUGAAGAUGCAAGAAUCUCGUUGCAAGACUUUGAACACUCAAAGCAGAGGAAAUUGGUUUUUCACUAAAUCACACUGAAAAUUAUGAUCAUAAUGAUAUAUGUUUUAUGAGAAAUGAUGACAAAAAGGUUUUAUAUGUGCUUUUGAUUAAGCAUAAAAAAUGGUUAAGAAAGUCAAUUAGAUAUGAAUCAAGAACAAUCUAUGAUUUGAAUCAAAUGAGCAAGUGAAGUGGCAUAAAAAACUUAAUUUUGAACAUUUGAUAGUUGAUUCGAAUUACAAGGAAAAUGUGAUUCGAAUCACAAGGAAAGUGUGAUUCGAAUCAUGGACCUCUUGACUCAAAUCAUGUACAGGAAAUGAUUUGGAUCAAAUCAAACAACCCUAACUGAAAAAUGCUGAAAAGUGUGUGAUUCGAAUCAUGUUCAAAAUUUGAUUCGAAAAAAAAAUCAAGUAGAGGUGGACAUCAGGAAGUUUAGAAUCAUGUGUAAAAAAUGAUUUGAAUCAAAUUGUCUGAAAAUUCCAUAUUUGCCUCUAUCCAUUUUGAUUUGAAUCAUAAAAUGUGUUUGAUUUCCUUGAUUCAAAUCAAACACAUAAAAUCUCAAAUUUUCAAGGUUCUAAAAGCGCUUUGAGAUUUUACUUUGAAUCAAACUCAAAUAAAAAAUAUAAAAGGUUUUCAUUCCAGUUACUCAUGUAAUUGAUAAAAAACAUCAUGAUCAAGAUCAAAUCUAACAAAUGGUGUAUUCAUGCUAAAAUGAAUCUUUUUAAACUUGAUUCUGAGAAGUGCAAUCACGAAGAAAACUCAACAAAUCGAAAUUAAAUCAAAUAUAAAAGCGAUAAGACAAUCAACAAAAUAAUUGGAUAUAGUUGCUCCCCUGAUUAAAUUAGGGACAUGCAACUACAAUAUCCCGUUUUUUAUGCUUGGCAAGCUUUUAAUUUGAAUUGAGUUGAUCUUGAGUAUAACGCAUAAAAUGUUUAUGUCCCCCUUGAAUUCCAAGUAAACAACCAUAAAUAACUCAUGAAAAAGUAUACAAAUGCUCAAAUGCACAUAAUUUAGAACAAUCAUGAAUAAUUCAUGAACAAGUAUACAAAUGCUCAAAUGCACAUAAUUAGGAAAACAUUCAAAAGACUUAAAUACAAAUAAGAACAAAAGAACUAUCUUUAUAAUGGAUGUUCAAGGCAUAUAUCUAGAGAAAAAGAACUAUCUUGAAGAGUUAAAGCCCUACUUUAAUAGUUAUGUUACUUUUGGUGAUGCAGCUAGAGGAAGAAUGAAGGGCAUAUGCAAACUAGUUAGUCCAGGUUCCCCUUAUCUUGAUGAUGUGUUGUCGGUAAAAAGUCUAACUCUAAAUUUAUCAGCAUAAGUCAACUAUGUCAUCAAGGUAUGGAUGUGAACUUUAAUAAGUCUGGAUUUAUUUUCUCCAGCAAAUAUCAAGAGGUGUUAAUGAAGGAUUCAAGAUCCAAAGACAACUGUUAUAUAUGGAUCUCUCAUCUCUCUUCAAGUUUGAUAUCCAAGGUUGAUGAGACUAAGUUAUGAAACCAUAAAAUUAGUCAUAUCAACCUCAAUAGCAUGAACAAGAUCAUAUAUGAAGAAGCCAUUAGAGGUUCACCAAAGCUGAAAAUUGAAUAAGGCAAAAUAUGUGGAAAUUGCCAAAUAGGCAAGCAGACCAAGAUGUCCACAAGAAGCUCUAGCAUCUUUCCAACUCUAAUGUUUUUGAGUUACUUCAUAUGGACCUUAUGCAAACCAUACAUGUGAAAGGCCUGGGUGGAAUAAAUAACACCCUAUGUGCGAAGAAUGAUAAAGGAAAACUCUUGGAUGACUUUGUGUUUGGUGAAAUGUCAAACAAGAUGUUGGAACAUUAUAUCAAACUAAUGCAGUCUGAAGUUGAGAUAAGUCUAGGUGGAGAAUUCACCUACAUUCUUGGGUAUCACAUAAGACACCACUUUUAUUUCUCAAAGCAAGUAUGCAAAGAAAGUUCAGUUUGAAUGGAUAAGGGCACUUUUGGCAUUUUCAUGUAUGUGAAAUUAAAGCAAAGCAGGCAUGAAAAAGGAAAUUUUAUCUCUCUUGUUAUCAUUGUGAUCAUAGAUGAGAUUAAGGAAUGGGAUUGAGCUGAAAAUGUAAAGAAGGAUUCAGUGAGAAUCUUAUGUGAAGAACCAACAAGUGAAGUCGAAAGAUAAGUUCGACAAGAAGAAGUCAGAGGUUGAGCAAGCAUAAGAAGACUUCAAAGAAUAAGACACAUGCUUGCAAGGUUGCAGGAAUGUGUGAUUACAUUAGAUGAUAUGGUCAAUGAUGAAGGUGAGCUGGUACACUAUGCUUUUUAUACAGAUGUCGAAAUAGUCAAUGCAGCUGAGGCAUUGAAGGAUUCGACAUGGAUGAAAGUGAUGAAUAAGGAAAUGAAAUCCAUUGAAGUCAACAACACUUGGUCACUUGUCGAAUUGCCUCAAGGCAAGAAUAAAAUUGAUGUGAAAUGGGUAUACAAGGUGAAGUUAAAUCCCAAAGAAGAAGUAACUCGAAACAGGGUAAGGCUUAUGGCAAAAGGAUUUCUUCAGAAAGAAGGAAUCGACUUCGACGAAGUUUUCACACCUGUUGCUAGGAUCGAAACAAUCAGGUUAUUUGUUGGUCUAGCACACAUGAACAACUGGAAUAUGUGUCAAGUGGAUGUGAAAUGUGCAUUCCUGAACGGCCCCUUAGAAGAAUAAGUUUUUGUUGCAUAACCAGUUGGGUUUGUGAAACAAGGUCAAGAAAGAAAAGUAUACAGGCUGCAUAAAGUCCUAUAUGGACUCAAACAAGCUCCAAGAGCUUGAAAUGAGAAGAUAGAUAGUUUCCUAAGGGAGAAGGAAUUUGUGAAGUGCACAACUGAGCAAGAAGUAUAUGUAAUAAGAAGCAAUAAUGAGUUGCAUAUAAUGUGUCUCUAUGUCGAUCACUUGUUAAUAACAGGUAGCUGCAAGAAAGAGAUCGAAGACUUCAAAGGUGAUCUUAGAAAGGAGUUCGAAAUGUCUGAUAUGGAAAACAUUUCAUACUUCCUUGGUGUCUAAUUCUACAAGAGUAGUAGAGGAUUGAUGAUGCAUCAAAAAAAGAUAGGCAAAUGAAAUACUCAAAAUAUUUGAGAUGGAAGACUGCAAUGCAACUUCGACACCUGGUGAACCAAGACUGCAACAGUCGAAAAAGUCAGAUGAAGAUGUCGACCAAACACAGUACAAAAUACUUAUUGGGUCAUUAAGAUAAAUUUAUCACACAAGGCCUGAUCUAACAUACAAUAUAGGUAUGGUAAGUAGAUUCAUGUAGAAGCCAAAGGUAUCCCAUCUAGCAGCUACGAAGAAGAUACUAAGGUAUCUCAAAGAAACUCUCGACAAUGACAUUUUGUUUCCUACAUCUGAUGAAAGAAAAGAAUCCAAGCUAGUGGGUUACACCGACUCAAGUUGGUGUAAUGAUGUUGAGGAUAGAAAAUCCACAUUUCCUUAUGUGUUUAUUCUAUGAGGAUAAAAAAUUCGGUUGCUUGGAACUCAAGAAAAGAAUCAGUAGUAGCAAUGUCGUCGUGUGAAGCAAGGUACAUAGUUACUUCCCUUUGUGCAUGUCAAGCAACAUGGAUGGUGAAUUUGGUCGAAGAAAUUACAGGGAAGGAUCAUGGAGCAAUUACUAUGAAGAUUGACAUCAUGUUUGUUAUCAAUUUGGCAAAGAAUUCGGCAGCACAUGGAAGAAGCAAACACAUCAAAAUGAGAUUUCGUUAUCUUUGAGAGUAAGCAACAAAUGUGAAGCUGAACUUAGAAAACUGCAGAACUGAGAAUCAGAUUACAGACACCGUGACAAAAGGUGUGCAAGUCAAAGUGUUCAAAAUACUAAGAACAAUGAUGAAUGUAGAUACCUUAGACACAAUGAAUUAGGUGGUAUGUUGAGAAUAUAAUUCUUUGUGUCAAAGCAUCAUUUCGAUAGAGUUGGUUGUUGUCAAAAUGCUAUGCGCCGAAUUUUGUAUAGUUGUCGAAAUGUCGAAGAGUGUGUCUUCGACAUGAAUUGUAAGACUUAGCUUUAUUUUGUGUUUUAGCUGAGUUAGGUUAAUUAGAGAUUGUUUGGUGUGCAAGCAAUCUCAACUUAUAAAUAGGGAGGUACCAUAUCAUUGUAAUAAAGCAAUUGCAUAGAGAAAAUAUUGAAUAAAGUUUUGUUUGAAGGCAGAGAGAAACUCUGCAGAAAUAUUCUCUUUCUUUUCCCCUUUCUCUAAAAACAUAAUUUUAUAUUUUCUUCCCCAAUUCAUCUUUUACUUUCUUCUCAAACUUAUGUGCGUUGGAAUCAUCUUCCAACUAAGGUGUGGUUGAUUCACUCGAGUGAAAAGUGAAAAACAAGAGUAGUAGUCAAUCAGAAAGAUUGAUUCUUCUUCAUCAAGAUUGAUUCGGAAUUCUUCUUAAUUUGGUGAAAUUCCACAUCAGGAAUUUAUCGUAAUUCCAACAAGGGAGUGUGUCUGCAAAAUUAGCACUCCAAUGCUCAAGCCAACGAAGUCGGAUAGGUGAAACUUCUAAGAAUAUAAUGAUUCGUCUUUGGUAUGUCGUUGAGUGACACUUAUAUAGGAAUAACCGUUAGAAUCGUCUCUAAAGAGUGCGGCGUCUCGUGGGGAACCAUUGGAUGAAUCCAACGGUUGAGAUGGAGCGGUGUCUCACUCUAGUGUUGGGCUUCCUCGUAAAAAUGUGCAUGUAUGUCAACUUGAGGGGGCGUGGAAUUGAAUUGGACCUCCAACUUAAAUCGGAAAUUAUAAACUCUUUGGUGAGUCCCAACAAGUAACUACGUGCUAUUGUCGAAAACAAAAAACAAAUGCAACUACUUUUGCCUCCUUGAUAUCAAUUCUCAACUCUAAAAAAAGCCUCAAAUGCAUGCAUGCAAACAUGGCUCUUGGUGGCUCCUAGGGUGGUUGAGAUUAUAUUAUUUAUGGUAGUGUGUGCUAUUUUUGUGCUAUACAAUCUAAUUGUCCCUACAAUUUGCUCUGGCUGUAUUAACUAGUCGUCGUAAUUUUCAUAGGUGCUUUCCUCCUUGUAGAAGGGGUACGGAUGGUCCUACAGUUGGUACGGGCCAGUUAGGACAUAAGUACCAAAGUACAGCUAUGGUACAUUAUAAAAAAUGUUAUAGACAUACAUGCAUGCAUCUACAUUUAUGGUCAAGAUAGUUUGGGACCCCUUGAUAGAUACUAGAUAAGAUAUUCUACAAAACAUGUAAUAGAGAGAUGUAAAACCAACAUCCAGAAGGUUCAGGUAUUCUUUUCAAAGAAAGAAACAAUGAAAUCCAGCUAAUAUUUCCAUUUCAACAUUCAACAACCAGAGCGUUCCUAUCAUGAUCACUGAUUGAUCACAAAAUCACAGCUGCACCGUAUUGAGAAUGGAAAUCAUAAUAUGAUAUACUCUAAGUUUAAUUUUAAAUCGAUUAUUAUGAAGUUCAUUUCAUGCGUGGUUAAUUUAUUAAAAAAUAAUAAGAAGAAGAAACCAUGUGUUCCUAGUGAGAACUGUCUUUAAAUUUGACGCGUAAUACUCUGUGUUCUACAUUUAUUCCAGCAGCGGAAAGGAGCGUGAAAAAACUUUUGUACGGAUUGCGAAUUGCGAAUUCCGACCCGUUGUUUUAAGUAAAAUGUGUUUUACUCCUAGGCUUUAUUUGCUUUAAAUGAGAAUUUGGAGAAGAAGAAAACCAAAAUUUUAAAUAAAUAAAAAUAAAAAUAAAAUAAAUGUGAAUAAUUCGGUAUCUUUAAAUUUAAAUAGAUACUGAGAUCCUCAUCAAUCAAAAAGGAUCAUUCAAUGUCAUGUCAAUUUUUAAAUUAUUUUAUUUUUAAAUUUUAAAUUAAUUUUCACUAAAGAUACAAGUACUUAAUCAUAAUUUAUGGGUACCAUAAAAUUUAUUUAAAAUAAAAUAGAAAGAACAAGUACAUAAUCAUAAUUUAUGGGUAUCAUAAAAUUUAUUUAAAAUAAAAUAGAAAGAACCGAAAGAUUUUGACAAAACUAUGACUUUUUUAUAAUAAAAAAUCACUCUAAUUUUGAUAACUUAAGAAUUGUAGUGGAGUAUUUUUUUUUAAUAGUUUUAAAGAGUUUAGAUAAAUUCUUUAAAUAUAAUUCAUGAUGUUAUAAUAUUUUAAAAAUUAAAAAAAAAUACUAAUUAACAAUAUUUACUUAGCAUUUUAUAUGUUAAGUAUACCUAAUAGUCCCAAAAGAGAAGCAAAGGUGGGGGAGAUUGGUCAUCUGUUUACGUUUAAUAAUAUUCUUGUAAUAUGAAUUGUAGUAUUAUAUAUAUUAUUUGUAAUACUGAAAUUCUAAUUCAUUCGAGUAAUUAUACCGAACUACACAUGUUCUAUAGUCGUGGACUUGGACACAUUUUGUGGAAUUGUAUAAAUAAAUAUCAUGUUUGUUGUUUGCGAUUAGCAUUUUCUAUUUUCUCUUUUGUUACUAGUUGUUGUUCUAAUAAUUGGUAUCACAUGACAAUUAACUUUUGUUCAAAAUUCGAGGUGGCAGGGUGUAGCGGGGUAUUCGUUACCAUUGGAGAUAUUGACUAAAUCCAAGGUAAAUCAUACAAAGUCGAGUCGCCACCGCACUUCUAUUUAUCCAAAGGAAUGGUUAGAAAGCGAACAAAAACCUAAUAGUUUUAUCGAAUCAAAAACUAGUAAAAAUGUCAGAGAUCUGGGUAAGGGGGUUGGUUAUGCAAUGGGAAGGUUUUAAGCACCCAAAACAUCCUAGGUACUCCUAGGGAGCCCUUUUCAUACUUGUUGUAAGGUUGGUAUUUUGUGAAAAUUUGUUUGUGCAAACAUGAUUGAAGAGAUGAGAAGAGAAUAUACAAGUUAUUUACAUUUUGUGUUUGGAUGGAUAAACCCAUUGCCUACGUACCAUCUUAAAAAAGAUUAGGAUCAAAACCUCGUAGUUCGGGGUAAAAAUCUCAAAAUGAGUUGGUGAAUUGAUUGGUCCAAAAGCCUUAAGGUCUUUUGUUAUCCAAGGGAGAAAACUCAACCUAAAACCACAAAUCCACCAUGUGAGGAUAGCUUCAACAUGCUAGUGAGGGGUUAACCCUAUAAUAAGCAUGGAAGACUCAUUGUCCAUCACUAAGGAUAUAGGUGAGUAUUACAUCUACCUCAAGGAUAACUCAAACCUAAUAGCUAAAGGUUAUGAAAAAUUUGAUUAAGAAGUGGACAUUGAAACCACAAAAAGCACAUUUGAAUGAGUUAUAUUUACCAAUUAGAAGUAUAUACAAAAAUGGUCAAAGUUGACUUAAAGAUUCAAUUCAAAAUGAGUAUUGUGAAAAGAAAGUUUGAAAAUCAAAAGCAUAAGGCUUAGGUUUCUAAUGUUGAAAACAAAGUCAAAUGUUUGCACAAAAAGGUUUUGGCUUGGGUUAGGGUGGAGAGAAGAGCUAAGUCCUAAAGAGAACAAAAAGGUGAGGGAUAAGAAAUGAAACCACACUAGGAGUUCCUCUCUUGAGAUCAUAUAAAUGAUCCAAGUAGCUCCUAUCCUUUGGAAUAAGCAAGCACAAAGCAUAAGCAAUCAAACAAGUCUCAUAAGAGAUCCUCAAUGUAUCUUGUAUCUUCCACUUAGAUGAACAUGGUAAUGAUCCUCCAAUUAAGCUCAAAUGGAAACUCCUAGUUCAAGAACACACACAUCAAAAGUCCCACAAGUAAACAAACAUCACACACUAUAUACAUACAAGAGGCUCAAACAAUGGGUGGGCUUUAGUCAAGAGGGGUCAUGUUAACCUCGACAAACAAGCCAAACUGUAAUGGGUAAUUUGUAGCUCUUAACCACUAACAUUGAACGUUAGGGUGAAGCUGAUCAAAAUGGAAAUGAGGAUGAGACCUCAUGCUCUUAACCCUGGCCAGGAUGAGCUCAUGACAAAGAAAGCGUGGGGAUCCAGAAAGUGGGAUCCUAUUCCACUUGACAGACACUGGACAAAGAUCUGGGGCACAUGUUCAGAAGCAUCAGCACGUAGUGCGAGCAUAAAGAACGACACACUGAAUAAUGGGGGAUUGGCUACUAAUCCCUUCUAUCCGUCAAUUGCCUCUACUCUUGGAUGUCUUAACAAAUAACACAUGCCUCCUCUUGGAGGUCUUUGAGCACAAUUUUAAACAAACACAAACAGAGCCUCUGAAGGAGGACUUGCCAACAAAAUGCCUGCCAAAAAGGUGACAGGACUUCAGACUACAUGAAGUAAGAAGCUAACUACCUGAGUGGUGUAUCAACCAUAAUCCAAAGCUCAAGCAAGAGCUAAAGUAAGAAAGCAACUA